GGCACUCUAUAAGACGGGCCCCGUUGAC
RNAcentral lists this small RNA (28 nucleotides) under Bombyx mori (domestic silkworm). RNAcentral describes it as "ovarian small RNA-17373". Lineage: Eukaryota; Metazoa; Arthropoda; Insecta; Lepidoptera; Bombycidae. The record is from RNAcentral.